AGUGAACGCUGGCGGUAGGCCUAACACAUGCAAGUCGAACGGCAGCACAGUAAGAGCUUGCUCUUACGGGUGGCGAGUGGCGGACGGGUGAGGAAUACAUCGGAAUCUACUUUUUCGUGGGGGAUAACGUAGGGAAACUUACGCUAAUACCGCAUACGACCUACGGGUGAAAGCAGGGGAUCUUCGGACCUUGCGCGAUUGAAUGAGCCGAUGUCGGAUUAGCUAGUUGGCGGGGUAAAGGCCCACCAAGGCGACGAUCCGUAGCUGGUCUGAGAGGAUGAAGACCCAAUCUGGAAGUGAACAGCGCACCGGCGCCCGCGGGAGGGCACAGGUGGGGAAUAUGGGAAAAUGGGGGGAAGCCUGCACCACCGAUCCCGGGGGGGGGAAGAGGGCCUUCGUGUGGAAAACCCUUUUUUUGGGAAAAAAAAAAGGGCGGUCUAAAACCCGCGUUUUGUGACGGUACCAAAAAAAAAAGCACCGGCUAACUCCGUG
RNAcentral lists this ribosomal RNA (492 nucleotides) under uncultured bacterium. RNAcentral describes it as "partial 16S ribosomal RNA". It matches the Rfam family "Bacterial small subunit ribosomal RNA", at positions 29 to 507 of the family's 1533-position model. The record is from RNAcentral.